Molecule: non-coding RNA, 6667 nt
Organism: Coturnix japonica (Japanese quail)
Lineage: Eukaryota; Metazoa; Chordata; Aves; Galliformes; Phasianidae
Source: RefSeq, a predicted model, not a curated record
GCCGGGGGGAGCCGCGAGGCCGGGAGCGGGGUAGGCUGCGCCCGUACUUAAGCGCUCUGCCCGAGCCGCUGACGUCUUUCGAAUUGGAGACGGGGCUGUCCCCCCUCCCGCCUCGGGCUCCCGCGGACGCGGCCGGGGACGGAGCCAGGGUGCAAGUGUCUAGAAUGCCCAAGUAUGCACAGCAGCUUAGAGAUCAUGACAGAAAUCCUUGCAUAGCGCAUGACAUUAUGAUGCAAAGGAAAAGAAGCGGUGUGAAACCGGAGAUGCCCUCAGCAGAGGAGAGAAAGAAAAUCUUGGAAUCUGUGGAGAAGCCGUACUGACUACAAACUGGCUUUGUUUUACUGUUGUCACUGUACAUACGAAGACUUGUCAGCAUCUGGUUGCCCUUUUGUAAACUGGACUUCAACGUUGCCAUAUCUUGGAUUAAAGUAAGCUGUUACGUUUUGAAGCGUGUGAGCUUUCUACUAUAGGACUGGGUUCUAUUUGUAUUCUUCCUCAUUGGUACUUAGUGUCUCAAUAAAAGACAUGGGUACCAACACAGCUUGUCCAGAGACCUUGGAAGUAGAAGCUAACGUGCUGUGAAAUACUAACGACUCCUAAGAUUUGCAAUUCUAAGUUCUAACUCUUCUGAUAGUUGUAAGUUUUAAGGGCUGAGUAAAUUUAGACUAGUAAAGGACUAGUAUGCGGAGAAUCUCUUGUAUAUAGCUACUCUGACUAGUAUUCUAAGCUUAUCAUGGGUAGUCCUGUCACUGUUUUCACGAGUUGUUUGCGGUGUCCCUUCUUUAAAUAACACUAUCCAUGAACUAAAAUCCCAAAUCCAACAAGCUGUCAUUAAGCUUACAGCACUUCAUCGGUGUAUAGCAGAAGGUUGCUAUAAAUCAGAAGUGCAGGCUUUGCUUGGUACAAGGUUAGAGAGGUUGGUGAAGAGGGAAAUGAACUUGUCUCAGCUGAAUAGUACCUUUGGUGGAUAGUAAAUAGAUACUUGGCUGCUGGAGGAGGUUGGGGACUUUGUAGGCAUGUAAACAUGCACUUGGAGUGACAUAGCAGGUUUAACUAUAGUACAACUAUCUAAGACUCUGGACAGCUGAAGCCCUGGGUUUGGAAAUGCUUACUCAUAUGACACUACAAAGCUCAGUUUGAAUAGGUACUCCAGUCUUGAGACUGAUUCCUUAUCUAAACUGGGCAGCUAUUAAGUGUAAUCAGAUUGCUGUCUAGAAAUGCUUGUUUUCUUUACCUUCGGUGUUUUCUGGUGUUCUGGCUUAAAGAAAUCACACCCUUUGGUAAAAUGGAAAAAUGACUAUCAUGAGCUCAAGUUCCAUGUGAAAACCUUUUGAGACAUACUGCGAUUAAGUUGGCAGAACUCUGGCUGACCUCUUGGAAGAUGGUGUAAAAGUGUUGUCUCUCUAUUUAGACUGUUUUGGAAAGACUUCAUAGCUUCCUGUUUUUCUCUCUGUCUGGCUUGUCUCAUUGCUUUCCACUCAAGGCCUAUUUCUAUGUUAGCAGCAGUUUUAUGCUAUUUUUCACCUUCCCCCUCACCAUCUGACCAACUAGUAACUAAUGGGAUCUACUUUGACUCCUGUCUUUCUGGCUGCUCUCCUUUUAUACCUGAGUUUUGAAGCGAGUUGAUCGUGCCCUUUUUGUUACUGGAAAGAGUGUAACUCUAUGCCUCUUGAGCGCGCAGUUCUCUGAGAAUAGCUGUCUGGCCUCCAAACCAUGUCAUAAGUUCUCUUGUGUGUUCCUGGCAAGCGAAGUAGACCUUCUUCAGGGAAGAUCAUGAGAUUCUUUAUUUUGGAUUAUUUUGACUUUACUUAAAAUUCAGCCUUUGCAGUCAGUGAUUGUGUUUUUGUUUGGUGCGGAGGAGAAGCUUCCAUACUAGAUUCAAGGGCUCUACCUUGCCCACCGCUUCUAAAUUGUUUCAAUACCGUCCCAUUUAGCAGUUUUUUCCAGUUUGGCACAAAUUCUUCUGUUUAGUAGUUUGAACGUUUUUAGUCUGUUCCAAUUCCAACAUUUUUCUAGUAACUUUGUUCUUUCUCUGCCCCAAUGAUCUAGUUCUGCAAUGACUUUCUAAUACAGCUCUUCCUGAAGAUCCCGUGUUCUCUGUCUGAGUGGAGAAUUUUUUGCUUUCAUUAGUUGGGCUUAAUGGUGCUACUUCUUCAUUGGCCAUGUCUCUAUUUAAUCCUCCUGCUCUCUGAGUUUUGGGUAGCUGGUUCUUUGAUUAUGUCUGGACUUUUCUGGUCUUGCUGCUUUGCUUGUGUGAGCUUACCUUCUCUCCCACUUGGCACAGGUUUGUCAUUUGGCAACUUUGCUACAUCUUUAGGCAUGGUGUCUUUGCUUUUAUGGCUUUACUUACUAUUCUAGUGCUUGCUGUUUGUGCUACACUCCAGUACUGGACUUGCACUUAAAUCUGUUUUCUUUCAUGAGUUCAAGUUUCUUAAAGCUGCUUACUUAUCCUGAGCUUUUCUUUCAGAUGUGGGUGUAAGAAUGGCCAUAUUCCUAGUGUUUUUUUUUUACAUUUCCACUCUUUUCCUGCUAAUGUUUCCUGGGGAAGUUUCUGCUCCUCUCCUCUGAAAGGAUGGUUGGCGUGUGGCAGUUCAGGGUAUGUGCUAUCCUGUGUCUAGAGAACUAGGACUUGAAUUCAGGAUGUUAGAGGAAGAGCUGUAUUCCCUGCUGAAACUAUUUCACAAUGCAAAAAUAUGGGAUUGCAGGGCAAAUUUAAGGCAUUGGUGGACAUACAAGGUAAGUUCCUUUCAGGUUUUAUGGCAAGCCUGAUCUUUUUUGAUGAAGAAGUGACGUUGGUGUAAGCAGUGACUUUAAGCGUUUCAUUCAAAUAACAUUCAUCUGUUGUGGGGGAUGUUGCUUACUCGGUUAUGUAUAUUCACGUGCCUUAUUAUACUUCGUUCUAGAAGAAAUCUGGAGAAGCAAGAAGUUUUGUCAUAAUGCCUUUCAUUGUAAUCCAUUAAUUAAGUCUGAGUCUUUGUUUUCUACCAUUCCCUUCAGGUUAUUGUUCCUAGUUUCACUUCUGAGGCUGAGGAGCGGUAAAUUAUGACAGUAAAAACAUAAGCUGUUAUUUAUGAAACAGGUUAUUUUGGUUAGUUUUUGUAGUGUGGUUAACUGUCUUUGGUUGUGAGCCAAAGGUAAUGGUCUCAGAGCUGAUAUUCUACACAUCAAGCACUGAGGUAAGUAGUAGACUGCCAGACUUAGCAGGCAGAAACAAAUUGGGUUGGACUCUUUGCUGUAUACAAUCUUAUUCGUUAACACAGGAACAAAACAUAAAGGACCAAUGCAAUUCAUGUGGAAGGGGGAAGGCUUCUUGUGGGUUUUGUUCACCAGUUUUAACUCUUAAUUUUUGGUGGUACAAAACUAAAUCUUGGUCGUGCUGGUGAAUUGUUUCAUUUUUUUGUUUGACAGCUGGAUGGUGCUGUUGUACAACAGAGACUGUGUGAAAACAACAUCGCUAACCACUGCUGUCUUUCUAGGGUUUUUCUGAGCCUCUUCCACGGAUGUAAAACAAGAAAUUCAUUCAGGAGAAAGGAAGGUUGGGUGUUGCCUCUACACUAUUAAGAGAAGAGGAAGAUGAGGGUCUAGAAUCUAGAAUGCUGGAGAUAAGAAGUUUGCGUAGCCUCGGAAGCCUUCAAGUAUGCAGCAGCCUGCAGAAUGCUGCACGCAGCUGUGGCACUGCAGAAGCAAAUACUGAAACUUCAGAGGCUGAGAACCGCAACAGAUCACAGAAUUGUAGGGGUUGGAAGGGACCUCUAGAGAUCGAGUUCAACCCUCCUGCCAAAGCAGGUUCCCUACACCAUGUCGCACAGGUAUAGAUCCGGCAUUCACCUGCAGAGAAUGGUUUUUUGUGCAUGUAUUUCCUCAUGCUGUAUCUGCAGCUCAGCAUUCGUGCUGCUGGGAGAGAGAAACAGAACCUGCUGUUCAGUCAGGGAUUGAUGCCUCUGACAGGGCGGCUGCAGGUGUUGUUCUGUCAGCCUUUAGGACACUCAACACGUGGCACUGCAAGAACUGUUUCGUCAAACUUUAGGUUGCUGAUGGUAGAGAAAGACAGAAGAAAAACAACUGCAAGCCAUGUGGAAAACCUUACCAACCUCUGCCCCCCGCUAUAGGGCCUGUACAUGUCCAGUCAGCUGUCGGGGAAAAAGCAUGGAGAACCUAUUGCUGUGAUGUGACAAGUCUUAGCAUCCUUUGCAAACAAAAAGUCUUUGUGAGAGAUAAAGACCAACCUCAUUUUACCAGUGUAAGUUUUAACUAAUACAAUCCAAGUGCCUUGUAGACUCUUUCAGUGUUGGUAACUACUUCUUCCAGAUGCCAGACAAAAAGCAUAAGCCUGUUCUCAGCAGCAGUAACAGCAGCUGCCCUGCUGACAAGCAAGCAAACACUGUGAGAAGAUCAUCUCCAAAUCAUUGUUGUAUCUUGCCAAAGCUCACAGCAUGUGUUUCAUUCUCCACCUGCUGUGAUGCAGAUCUAUACUGCUUAGCCCAACCAGCGAUGGUUCCCUCAUUGCCUGAAGAAAACAUCAUCACGGUUACCUCAGUGGAUUGCUGACAAGAGGACAGAAUCUACUAAGUGCAAAGGGGGAAAACUAAGCUUUUAUCUUCAAUUGCAAAUACUUCACUGGAUGUUGUUUACUUUGACCUCUGAUAUAGUUUUGUGUAUUCUGGGGUACUGGCUCCAUGCUCAAGAGAAGCCCAUUUUCAGCUCUCCUCCAUCCUGCAUGGAUAGCAGCAGCAGUAUCUCAGCCUCUCUGCAUCCUUACCCAAUAGAUUUUUCUUAUCCUCAUUGUCAGGGUGUUCUGAGACAAAAUCCUCCAGCAAGCCCCUGGCUGCACUCUGCUGGUUAAACUCUCAGUCCUGGAGAGCAGAGAAAAACAGUGCCAAAAAGGAUUAUUCAAAGUUACUGGUCUGUGUAACUUCUUGCUGUAGCAAUGCUGUUGCAGCAAAGGUUCAUCACCUGGCAGGGUCAAUCCGAAUGAACAAGUGUGCAAUUCUCUUUGCUCUUGUUUUUGGAACAAGUGUUAUUGUUAUUAACAUUUUUGUAUAGGAAGGUCCAAGCACGUGGCUGAAUUCCAAGCCAGGUUUGCUCAUCUAACCAUGCUUGCUAUCUCUCAUAAGCUGUCAGAGUCAUCUUGUGAUUGUGUUGUUUGCAGAACAGAUCUGAGAUGUAUUCAAAGACAUUCUUUCACGUAUUUUUUCCAUGAACAUCCCCACAUCUUCAACACUAAACUAUAUUUGUCUGCUUUAGUAGAUGGUGGACUUGAUGAUUCUUGGAAUUCUUACCUGCAGAGGUGAUAUUCAGAACAUCACCACAUGCAAAAUGCAGAUAUCCAGAUACUGGCAGAAGAACACAAGGGCUCACGUAUGUCUCUAAGCGGUACAUAAUCCUGUAUACUUUUAAGUCACUCAGUGGGAAGCCACUGCUAAGUUGUGAUCUUCCUUGGAUCACAGCAGAUACAAAUCUUAAGAGCCAAGUGAGUAUUAUCAACACUGUACUGACUGUGACUUGCCUUUUUUAUUAGUAUUUCUACCUCAACUCAUUUUCAAAGCAUCAGUCAUGAGUGCCAGAAGCCUCCAGACUGAUGAAGUUAACUACUUACCAUCCUAUUAACUUCAUCCUAAAAUUAGGCACAACGUGCACGUAUGUAGAUUUACAAGUUUUUGUUUCUUUAAGAAAAUUUCUUUUCUGGAAUGAUCUUAUACUUUAUGGGCUGAUAGUCCAUUUAAAAUCAAUCCAUUCUGCUAAUCUCCUUUAAAAUAUCCAAGCUAGCAGCAGUCAAUUUAUAGCAAUUCUUUUCCCUACGCAGACAAAACACAAAGGUUGUUAAUAUUUUCCAGCCAAGUUUCCUUGUAUUCCAACUUGGGAGUGGUAAUAGGAGGAGAGCCAAGGAAUUUCCAGAAAUCUUGAAGUGCUAGUAAGUCAUUACUGACACCGUGCCACGAACAGUUGGUUGAAGGAACUUAGAUGUAGGAUAAAGUAAGUUAGAUGCAGGAUAAAGUAAAGAGGAUAACUCUGCCUCUGAUUAGCAACUGUUAUCAGUGCAUCCCACCUGAAGUAAAAGCUUCCUUACAGAGUGGGAAAAGAAGGGUAGCUACUUUCACAGUUACGAACAAACUUAAGCUUUGCCCUCAAAGUGGGCUCUGCAAGGAACCAUUUAAGCUACUGCCCUGCCCCUUCUGAGACUCUUUGCCACCUCAAGUCAUUGGUUUAGGUUACAUUUGUUUUACACUUUAGUGAUUUUGGUCUUAUUGGCAUGAAAACAUCUAAAAAUAUUCGUACAUGUUUACCAUCUAGGCACUGAUCCCGUGGCAGAGGGUAACUUACAAGACAGGUUACGUGGAAAGCACGAAUACGAAGCUGCAGAUCUUCAGUCAGCCCACUCAGAAGCUUUAAGGGUUCACACUUGGGAACGUAAGCACAGGGUUAUUCAGGAUUAUUUCCUGCAUUUAGAAGUGGCUGAAUGAGAUACUUCAAAAUUGUGAAGAAAGCUCAUAUUUGGUUGAUAAAAGCACGGCUUGUUCUGUUACAUCUCCUUCAAAAUCCUCAGCCAACAAAUGAUGUGAUUCCUGAACAUCUCUCCUUGUUUGUUCCCUUGAACUACAUGUAAUUUUAGUGCUCCUUUUUCACAGUCUGCGGGUUGGAAGGGACCCUUUAGAGAUCUAUCGAGUCC